CCUACGGGAGGCAGCAGUGGGGAAUCUUCCGCAAUGGGCGAAAGCCUGACGGAGCAACGCCGCGUGAACGAUGAAGGUCUUAGGAUCGUAAAGUUCUGUUGUUAGGGACGAAGGGCAAGGGUUAUAAUACAGCCUUUGUUUGACGGUACUCAACAAGGAAGUGACGGCUAACUACGUGCCAGCAGCCGCGGUAAAACGUAGGUCACAAGCGUUGUCCGGAAUUAUUGGGCGUAAAGGGAGCGCAGGCGGGAAACUAAGCGGAUCUUAAAAGUGCGGGGCUCAACCCCGUGAUGGGGUCCGAACUGGUUUUCUUGAGUGCAGGAGAGGAAAGCGGAAUUCCCAGUGUAGCGGUGAAAUGCGUAGAUAUUGGGAAGAACACCAGUGGCGAAGGCGGCUUUCUGGACUGUAACUGACGCUGAGGCUC
RNAcentral lists this ribosomal RNA (424 nucleotides) under uncultured Clostridium sp. RNAcentral describes it as "bacterial SSU rRNA". It matches the Rfam family "Bacterial small subunit ribosomal RNA", at positions 338 to 754 of the family's 1533-position model. Lineage: Bacteria; Bacillati; Bacillota; Clostridia; Eubacteriales; Clostridiaceae. The record is from RNAcentral.